RNAcentral lists this transfer RNA (72 nucleotides) under Candidatus Scalindua sp. Its description in RNAcentral is "tRNA-Arg". It matches the Rfam family "tRNA". Rfam says of the family: Transfer RNA (tRNA) molecules are approximately 80 nucleotides in length. The record is from RNAcentral. Lineage: Bacteria; Pseudomonadati; Planctomycetota; Candidatus Brocadiia; Candidatus Brocadiales; Candidatus Scalinduaceae.
GCUCCAGUGGUUCAAUGGAUGAACAGCGUCCUUCUAAGGCGUUUUAUGCGGGUUCGAGUCCUGUCUGGAGUA